RNAcentral lists this unclassified non-coding RNA (460 nucleotides) under Hevea brasiliensis (rubber tree). The record is from RNAcentral. Lineage: Eukaryota; Viridiplantae; Streptophyta; Magnoliopsida; Malpighiales; Euphorbiaceae.
AGGAAUCAUCUCUGAAACAGUUAAUAUUGCUGAUGCCAUAAGAGCUUGUAAUCUUACCACCUCACGGGAAGAAUUUGAUACUUGGGACAAGACUCUGGAAGCCUCUGAGCAUUUUGGCAUGAAUGUUGGAUGUUUACGUGCCAGGCUGAGCCGGCUUGUAAGCCUUGCCUUUGAUUCAGAAGGUGCCACAAAGACUAGAAGGUAUAUAGAAGCUAAAACAGAACAAGCGCACACAGAAGAUGAGAUACAAAAUCUCGAAGCAAAGCUUGUGGAAUUAAAAGCAGCCUAUGACAAGUUUGGUGCUGAAAUUGAGAAUCUCAAGUCAAAAGCUGAAAGCUAUGAGCUCAAGUUCCAGGAAGAGGUUCUCGCUCCAUGGUGAUGUAUGCUUUACAAUAUACUAGUAAUUUAUUUUUUUUUUUUUCUUUUGUUUGCCCUGUUCUUUUGAAAUUAUACAUCUAAC